Molecule: long non-coding RNA, 414 nt
Filed under: Homo sapiens (human)
Lineage: Eukaryota; Metazoa; Chordata; Mammalia; Primates; Hominidae
Description: HSALNT0404664
Source: RNAcentral
GAGCCCGCCCCUCUCCCAGGCUCCUGCUCCAGGGCGAACCCGGGGGUCCUCUCCCAUGGCUCUGUGGGGGACCCCGGGGAGGUCGCCCUGGCACGGGACACUGUCGCGGGGUAGGACCCGAGAGGGUCUGGGGCGGUCAGGCUUCAUCCUGAGCACCGCCCGGGUGCAGGGAGCGCUGGGUGCUGGGCAAUACUUUAAAGACACAAAGUCUCAACAACCAUCUUCCGCUUGACGAGACAGAUCAUUCUAAUUUGAGCAGAAGCUACUAUGUCCUGCCCUUUGAACGCGGCGGCCCGGACAGCUGACAAGGACACACUGUGUAUUUCCAUUCCAAUUCUGGGAGUGCUCUGAGGCCUCUGGGGGAGAAGGACCCAUGAAAUAUUCAAAACAUAAGUGAAUAAAAUAUCUAGGUGC